GCAUAUCAAUAAGCGGAGGAAAAGAAACUAACAAGGAUUCCCCUAGUAGCGGCGAGCGAAGCGGGAAGAGCUCAAAUUUGUAAUCUGGCGUCCUCCGGGCGUCCGAGUUGUAAUCUAUAGAGACGUUUUCCGUGCCGGACCGUGUCCAAGUCCCUUGGAACAGGGUAUCAAAGAGGGUGACAAUCCCGUACUUGACACGACGACCGGUGCUCUGUGAUACGUUUUCUACGAGUCGAGUUGUUUGGGAAUGCAGCUCAAAAUGGGUGGUAAAUUCCAUCUAAAGCUAAAUAUAGGCGAGAGACCGAUAGCGAACAAGUACCGUGAGGGAAAGAUGAAAAGCACUUUGGAAAGAGAGUUAAACAGUAUGUGAAAUUGUUGAAAGGGAAACGAUUGAAGUCAGUCAUGUCCAUUGGAUUCAGCUGGUUCUGCCAGUGUAUUUCCUUUGGACGGGUCAACAUCAGUUUGAGCCGGCGGAUAAUGGCAGAGGGAAUGUGGCACCCCCGGGUGUGUUAUAGCCCUUUGUCGCAUACGUCGGCCCAGACUGAGGAAUGCAGCUCGCCUUUAUGGCCGGGGUUCGCCCACGUACGAGCUUAGGAUGUUGGCAUAAUGGCUUUAAACGA
RNAcentral lists this ribosomal RNA (620 nucleotides) under Saitozyma flava. Its description in RNAcentral is "eukaryotic LSU rRNA". It matches the Rfam family "Eukaryotic large subunit ribosomal RNA", at positions 38 to 647 of the family's 3401-position model. Lineage: Eukaryota; Fungi; Basidiomycota; Tremellomycetes; Tremellales; Trimorphomycetaceae. The record is from RNAcentral.